This 57-nucleotide transfer RNA is filed under the name Camelus ferus (Wild Bactrian camel). It matches the Rfam family "tRNA", at positions 8 to 63 of the family's 71-position model. Rfam says of the family: Transfer RNA (tRNA) molecules are approximately 80 nucleotides in length. Their secondary structure includes four short double-helical elements and three loops (D, anti-codon, and T loops). Further hydrogen bonds mediate the characteristic L-shaped molecular structure. tRNAs have two regions of fundamental functional importance: the anti-codon, which is responsible for specific mRNA codon recognition, and the 3' end, to which the tRNAs corresponding amino acid is attached (by aminoacyl-tRNA synthetases). tRNAs cope with the degeneracy of the genetic code in two manners: having more than one tRNA (with a specific anti-codon) for a particular amino acid; and 'wobble' base-pairing, i.e. permitting non-standard base-pairing at the 3rd anti-codon position. The record is from Rfam by way of RNAcentral. Lineage: Eukaryota; Metazoa; Chordata; Mammalia; Artiodactyla; Camelidae.
UAGCUCAGUGGUGGAGCCCAUGCUUCGCGUGCGUGAGGUCCUGGGUUCAAUCCCCAG